GGAGAGGUGGGAGAGUGGCUUAUUCCACCGGUUUGCUAAACCGACGUACCGUAGAUGCGGUACCGGGGGUUCGAAUCCCCCCCUCUCCG
This 89-nucleotide transfer RNA is filed under the name Bacteroidales bacterium. Its description in RNAcentral is "tRNA-Ser". It matches the Rfam family "tRNA". From Rfam's summary of the family: Transfer RNA (tRNA) molecules are approximately 80 nucleotides in length. Their secondary structure includes four short double-helical elements and three loops (D, anti-codon, and T loops). Further hydrogen bonds mediate the characteristic L-shaped molecular structure. tRNAs have two regions of fundamental functional importance: the anti-codon, which is responsible for specific mRNA codon recognition, and the 3' end, to which the tRNAs corresponding amino acid is attached (by aminoacyl-tRNA synthetases). tRNAs cope with the degeneracy of the genetic code in two manners: having more than one tRNA (with a specific anti-codon) for a particular amino acid; and 'wobble' base-pairing, i.e. permitting non-standard base-pairing at the 3rd anti-codon position. The record is from RNAcentral. RNAcentral also lists the same sequence under 2 other names. Lineage: Bacteria; Pseudomonadati; Bacteroidota; Bacteroidia; Bacteroidales.